Molecule: non-coding RNA, 1019 nt
Organism: Heterocephalus glaber (naked mole-rat)
Lineage: Eukaryota; Metazoa; Chordata; Mammalia; Rodentia; Bathyergidae
Source: RefSeq, a predicted model, not a curated record
UUCUCCACCACCACAAGCAGGUCCAUGAUCCUCUCCUGCAUCUCCCGACUCGUCUUAUAAAGUUUCUGUCAAGAAAGGAAAGAAGUUUCUUCUUCCAUGUUAAGAAUGCUCUAUAAAACAACUGACUCUCCAGUCUGGGUACAUUUGAAAUCACCUCCACACUGAUUCACCUGCAGGAGACCACCAAGGAAUUCAACUGUGGCAGCUCAUCUUCCCUGUUGGAAGCCAAGACAGAUGGAAUGGAAACAUGAAAGAGGCAGCCCAUCUCUCGGCAGGCUUGCAAAGCAGAAUGUGAAAACCCUCUUCAAAAGCCAGCCCACUCUUAUCUUUGCAAUUGAUGUCUGUCUCAGAGGAGGACCACGCCACCUGGAAACAGUGCAGAUCAAGCACCCGGGACAAAAAGGAUGGGUCAGAGUUCCCCACAGCAGGGUCUCACUAUGUAGCCCAGGCUGAUCUGAAACUCCUGGGCUCAAGCAAUCAUGCUGUUUGAGCUUCUAAGUGCUGAGACUACAGGUGUGUCACGAUGCCUAGCUAAAAUUAGAAUGUGGUAAGGAUGAAAAGCUGAACAACAAAUACCAUGACAACCAAGUUUCAGGGCUAUAAGAGCUGAAGACCAUGCGGAGACCACCCACACCGACCAUGCCGAAGUGUGGCUACCUUUACUCUCCUAUGACACUCCUAGGAGAGAGCUCAAUCCUCCUCCUCCUCAUAACUGCAACAAGCCCCUUCAAGGGCAUUUCACACCUCUCAAGGACCACUGAAGCUCACCACUUAGUGGGUACUCUACAAAAGCCUAAUAAUUCAUUGAUUCUCAGAAACUUGUUUCACCACUUUGCAUUUAACAAUGAUAGUAGUAUCUUGCUGAGAUGUGGCACAAUGACUCAUUCAAGCAAAGGACAGUCUCUGGCACAGAGCAAUAAAGCCUAGUAGCAGUGUUUUUUAAAAAACAAAACUACUAACUUCUUGGGCUGGGGUGUGGCUCAGUGACAGAAGCAGAGCACUCACCUAACAUGCACAAG